This 1428-nucleotide ribosomal RNA is filed under the name Triticum aestivum (bread wheat). RNAcentral's name for it is "partial small subunit ribosomal RNA". Lineage: Eukaryota; Viridiplantae; Streptophyta; Magnoliopsida; Poales; Poaceae. The record is from RNAcentral.
GGUAAUAUCUCUGACAUGCUACAGUUCAACGCUGUUAUAAGUCAGCUAGGUUUGAUGGAAAUCCCUUUAAAAGGAAGAACAUUCACAUGGAGCAAUAUGCAGCUUGAUCCUCUUUUAGAGAAGCUUGAUUGGUUCUUCACCUCUGCUUCCUGGACACUAAGCUUCCCAAAUACUAUGGCAUAUCCUUUGGCAAUGACCACGUCCGAUCAUGUGACAUGUGUGAUUCAAAUUCAAACCUCUAUGCCAAAAAGCAACUUGUUCAGGUUUGAAAAUUGGUGGAUGGAGCACUCUCAAUUCUUGCCAUUAGUAGAAUCUAUUUGGACACAGAGUAUCCACUAUGCAGAUGCUGCUAAAAGAAUCAAUGCAAAGAUGAAAGUUCUUAGGAAACAUCUCAAGAGUUGGGCAAAAACACUUUCCAACAUUAAGACUGAUAUUGCUGAUAUUAAUGCCCUUGUGGCCAUGAUGGACACCAUCGAGAAUUCCAGAAACCUCAGUGAUAUAGAAUCUUCUUUCAGGGACAGACUAAAGAAUCAUCUGACGCAUUUACUCAAGCAACAGAAGCUAUAUUGGCAACAAAGAAGUAAGAUCAAAUGGGUCACUCUUGGGAGUGAUAAUUCUAAGUUCUUUCAGUCUCUAGCAACUGUCCAGAAACGCUCAAACAAUAUUGCGUCUUUGCAAACAUCUGACGGCUCCAUUGUGUCUACUCAUGAAGAAAAGGCCAGUCUAAUUCAUACAGCUUUCAAGGACAGACUUUGCCAAACUGAACCUUGUUCUAUACCCCCCGACCUGCUAAAUCUUAUUGUGCCACAUCACGAUCUUAGCUGCCUGGAAGUCUCUUUUACACAUGAGGAGAUUGAUAAUAUUAUUAAAGCGCUCCCCUCCAAUAAAUCCCCGGGGCCAGAUGGUUUUAACAUAGAUUUUAUCAAGAAGUGUUGGCAUAUCAUUAAGAUGGACUUCUAUGACUUGUGCAACCAGUUUUUUGAUGGCACUCUUUGCUUGCAGAGCAUUAACAACUCCUUCAUCACACUAAUCCCAAAGAAAGCCAGUGCACUCUCUGUUAAUGACUAUAGGCCCAUUUCACUCCUCAGCUGCACAAUAAAGCUCUUGACUAAAUUGCUGGCUAAUAGAUUACAAGCUGUAAUCAUGGAGUUAAUACAUGUUAACCAGUAUGGAUUUAUCAAGUCAAGAAGCAUUCAUGAUUGCAUUGCAUGGGCUUAUGAAUUCCUUUUUCAAUGUCACAAAAGUAAGAAGCCAACCCUGGUGCUCAAAUUGGAUUUCGAAAAGGCCUUUGAUAAAAUUGAGCAUGGUAUGAUCCUAACGCUCCUGAAGAAAAAAGGCUUUGGAACUAAAUGGUGUAAUUGGAUUUCUCAGAUAUAUUCAGUUCUGGAACCUCUGUUGUCCUCCUCAAUGGAAUUCCGGGAAAAAAAU